ACCUGGUUGAUUCUGCCAGUAGUCAUAUGCUUGUCUCAAAGAUUAAGCCAUGCAUGUCUAAGUAUAAGCAAUCUAUACGGUGAAACUGCGAAUGGCUCAUUAAAUCAGUUAUCGUUUAUUUGAUAGUACCUUACUACUUGGAUACCCGUGGUAAUUCUAGAGCUAAUACAUGCUGAAAGCCUCGACUUCGGAAGGGGUGUAUUUAUUAGAUAAAAACCAAUGCCCUCCGGGGCUCCUUGGUGAUUCAUAAUAACUUGUCGAAUCGCAUGGCCUUGCGCCGGCGAUGGUUCAUUCAAAUUUCUGCCCUAUCAACUUUCGAUGGUAGGAUAGUGGCCUACCAUGGUGGCAACGGGUAACGGGGAAUUAGGGUUCGAUUCCGGAGAGGGAGCCUGAGAGACGGCUACCACAUCUAUCUAAGGCAAGGGCGCAGGCGCGCAAAUUACCCAAUCCCGAUACGGGGAGGUAGUGACAAUAAAUACUGAUACAGGGCUCUUUCGGGUCUUGUAAUUGGAAUGAGUACAAUCUAAAUCCCUUAACGAGGAACAAUUGGAGGGCAAGUCUGGUGCCAGCAGCCGCGGUAAUUCCAGCUCCAAUAGCGUAUAUUAAAGUUGUUGCAGUUAAAAAGCUCGUAGUUGAACCUUGGGUCUGGCUGGCCGGUCCGCCUCACCGCGUGCACUGGUCCGGCCGGACCUUUCCUCCUGGGGAGCCUCAUGGCCUUCACUGGCUGUGGGGGGAACCAGGACUUUUACUGUGAAAAAAUUAGAGUGUUCAAAGCAGGCCUUUGCUCGGAUACAUUAGCAUGGAAUAAUAGAAUAGGACGUGUGGUUCUAUUUUGUUGGUUUCUAGGACCGCCGUAAUGAUUAAUAGGGAUGGUCGGGGGCGUCAGUAUUCGGCUGUCAGAGGUGAAAUUCUUGGAUUUGCUGAAGACUAACUACUGCGAAAGCAUUCGCCAAGGAUGUUUUCAUUAAUCAGUGAACGAAAGUUAGGGGAUCGAAGACGAUCAGAUACCGUCGUAGUCUUAACCAUAAACUAUGCCGACUAGGGAUCGGACGGGGUUCUUAUGAUGACCCGUUCGGCACCUUACGAGAAAUCAAAGUUUUUGGGUUCUGGGGGAGUAUGGUCGCAAGGCUGAAACUUAAAGAAAUUGACGGAAGGGCACCACAAGGCGUAAACACUUGCAUGUUUUGCCGCAGCAACUCUGCGCCGAAAAGCAGCCUGAAAGGGUGAUGUGGUGCCCUUGGACAAAAAUAUUAAAUGCUAGUCCGGCCUUCUCACAGGCUGGGCGACACACUCAAAUUGCGGGAAACCCCUAAAGCCUUCACUACCAAGCUGUGUUUCGAAAGGACAUGGUGGCCAGGUUAAUUGCCUCGGGUACGGUCACAACGUGAAGGAUGUUCCAAUGGGCAAUCCGCAGCCAAGCCCCUACGUGUGGUGUCCGUAAUACAGACAUUCCAUAUGGGGAAGGUUCAGAGACUAAAUGGGUGUGGGUGCGUUACUCUCGAAGUGACAAGCUUAAGAUAUAGUCCGGCUUCAGUAGAAAUGCUGGAGAUCAGGUUCCACCUGUGAUUAAAACGGGAGCCUGCGGCUUAAUUUGACUCAACACGGGGAAACUCACCAGGUCCAGACAAAAUAAGGAUUGACAGAUUGAGAGCUCUUUCUUGAUCUUUUGGAUGGUGGUGCAUGGCCGUUCUUAGUUGGUGGAGUGAUUUGUCUGCUUAAUUGCGAUAACGAACGAGACCUUAACCUGCUAAAUAGCCCGACCCGCGUCUGCGGGCCGCUGGCUUCUUAGAGGGACUAUCGGCUCAAGCCGAUGGAAGUUUGAGGCAAUAACAGGUCUGUGAUGCCCUUAGAUGUUCUGGGCCGCACGCGCGCUACACUGACAGGGCCAGCGAGUACAUCACCUUGACCGAGAGGUCUGGGUAAUCUUGUUAAACCCUGUCGUGCUGGGGAUAGAGCAUUGCAAUUAUUGCUCUUCAACGAGGAAUGCCUAGUAGGCACAAGUCAUCAGCUUGUGCCGAUUACGUCCCUGCCCUUUGUACACACCGCCCGUCGCUACUACCGAUUGAAUGGCUCAGUGAGGCCUUCGGACUGGCUCAGGGGGGUUGGCAACGACCGCCCAGAGCCGGAAAGUUGGUCAAACUUGGUCAUUUAGAGGAAGUAAAAGUCGUAACAAGGUUUCCGUAGGUGAACCUGCGGAAGGAUCAUUA
Molecule: ribosomal RNA, 2207 nt
Filed under: Histoplasma capsulatum
Lineage: Eukaryota; Fungi; Ascomycota; Eurotiomycetes; Onygenales; Ajellomycetaceae
Description: SSU rRNA
Rfam family: Eukaryotic small subunit ribosomal RNA
Source: RNAcentral